Non-coding RNA from Podarcis lilfordi (Lilford's wall lizard), 68 nucleotides. NCBI's taxonomy places the organism in Eukaryota, Metazoa, Chordata, Lepidosauria, Squamata, Lacertidae. The record is from the annotation of a GenBank genome assembly.
GCUCGCUCAGUUGAUAGAGCAUGAGGCUCUUCAUCUCAGGGGUGCAGGUUCGAGCCCAACAUUGAGCA